AACGAACGCUGGCGGCAGGCUUAACACAUGCAAGUCGAACGCCCCGUCAGGGGAGUGGCAGACGGGUGAGUACCGCGUGGGAACAUACCCCUUUCUACGGAAUAGCUCUGGGAAACUGGAAUUAAUACCGUAUACGCCCUACGGGGGAAAGAUUUAUCGGGGAAGGAUUGGCCCGCGUUGGAUUAGCUAGUUGGUGGGGUAAAGGCCUACCAAGGCGACGAUCCAUAGCUGGUCUGAGAGGAUGAUCAGCCACAUUGGGACUGAGACACGGCCCAAACUCCUACGGGAGGCAGCAGUGGGGAAUAUUGGACAAUGGGCGCAAGCCUGAUCCAGCCAUGCCGCGUGAGUGAUGAAGGCCUUAGGGUUGUAAAGCUCUUUGACCGGUGAAGAUAAUGACGGUAGUCGGAGAAGAAGCCCCGGCUAACUUCGUG
Molecule: ribosomal RNA, 431 nt
Filed under: uncultured bacterium
Lineage: Bacteria
Description: partial 16S ribosomal RNA
Rfam family: Bacterial small subunit ribosomal RNA
Source: RNAcentral